Non-coding RNA from Pelobates cultripes (western spadefoot toad), 272 nucleotides. NCBI's taxonomy places the organism in Eukaryota, Metazoa, Chordata, Amphibia, Anura, Pelobatidae. The record is from the annotation of a GenBank genome assembly.
CAUACUUUGCCCUCGAGGUGUUGCUGAACAUCAUCUCCCAUUAGUCUCUGCACAUAUAUUGUAUUUAAUGAAAUCUGGGAUUUGUAAAGCCAUUAAAACCUGGGGAGAGUUUGAGAUUCCUGCUUUAAAGUGACACUUAAUAAACUGACUGCAAAAGCAUAAUGUGGUGUUUAUACUGUUAGGUGGUUCUAAAUUAAAUUCCACUUUUAUUUUGCUAUCUUUAUGUCAAAAUCAUGUGUCUUAAUAAUUAGCUAGUUUCACUUCCUCAUUAG